This 76-nucleotide transfer RNA is filed under the name Cordylochernes scorpioides. RNAcentral's name for it is "tRNA-Thr". The stretch from base 8 to 65 matches the Rfam family "tRNA", at positions 8 to 63 of the family's 71-position model. From Rfam's summary of the family: Transfer RNA (tRNA) molecules are approximately 80 nucleotides in length. Their secondary structure includes four short double-helical elements and three loops (D, anti-codon, and T loops). Lineage: Eukaryota; Metazoa; Arthropoda; Arachnida; Pseudoscorpiones; Chernetidae. The record is from RNAcentral.
CAUUUUAUAGCCGAGUGGACAAGGCACCUGCCCGGUAAGCAGAAGGGUGUGGGUUCGAUUCCCGCCCCUGGUAUGU